GUCGAGAAUAAUUCACAAUGGACGAAAGUCUGAUGGUGCAACGCCGCGUGGAGGAUGACGGUCUUCGGAUUGUAAACUCCUGUCAUCCGGGAGUAAGACCUGGCUGUGAAUAGCAGACAGGGUUGAUAGUACCGGAAGAGGAAGGGACGGCUAACUUCGUGCCAGCAGCCGAGGUAAUACGAAGGUCCCGAGCGUUGUUCGGAAUCACUGUGCGUAAAGGGAGCGUAGGCGGGGUGGUAAGUCAGAAGUGAAAUCCCGGGGCUCAACCCCGGAACUGCAUCCGAUACUGCCGUGCUAGAGGAUUGGAGAGGUAGCUGGAAUUCUUGGUGUAGCAGUGAAAUGCGUGGAGAUCAAGAGGAACACUCGUGGCGAAAGCGAGCUACUGGACAAUAUCUGACGCUGAGGCUCGAAGGCCAGGGUAGCGAAAGGGAUUAGAAACCCCUGUAGUCC
This 450-nucleotide ribosomal RNA is filed under the name uncultured bacterium. RNAcentral's name for it is "partial 16S ribosomal RNA". It matches the Rfam family "Bacterial small subunit ribosomal RNA", at positions 354 to 796 of the family's 1533-position model. The record is from RNAcentral.